CUGGCUUGAAACAUCUGGCCGGCCACGGUUUCGUGUGUUAGUGCUUGAUGUUCUGGCCAUCCUUCCAAUCGCUACUGGCUAUUCUUCAUUGAAUGGUCAGUAGUAUUGGAUCUUUUACUUUGAAAAAAUUAGAGUGUUUCAAGCAGGCUUUAUGCUAUGAAUACAUUAGCAUGGAAUAAUAAUUUAGGACUUCGGUUCUAUUUUGUUGGUUUCUAGGACUGAAGUAAUGAUUGAUAGGGAUAGUUGGGGGUGCUAGUAUUCAGCGGCCAGAGGUGAAAUUCUCGGAUUCGCUGAAGACUAACUUAUGCGAAAGCAUUC
RNAcentral lists this ribosomal RNA (318 nucleotides) under Sarcomonadea sp. RNAcentral's name for it is "SSU rRNA". The stretch from base 107 to 318 matches the Rfam family "Eukaryotic small subunit ribosomal RNA", at positions 744 to 956 of the family's 1831-position model. The record is from RNAcentral. Lineage: Eukaryota; Cercozoa.